This 364-nucleotide ribosomal RNA is filed under the name Dardanus insignis. RNAcentral's name for it is "partial small subunit ribosomal RNA". The record is from RNAcentral. Lineage: Eukaryota; Metazoa; Arthropoda; Malacostraca; Decapoda; Diogenidae.
UACCCUAUUAUAUUUAUUUCAAACUAUCAUAAUGCCUGAUUAUUAAUAGUUAUAAGCUUUAAACUCAAAGAAUUUGGCGGUGACUUAGUCUUAUUAGGGGAACCUGUUUUUUAAACGAUAAACCACGCAGUAUCUUACCUUUUUCUGUCGUUUGUAUACCGUCAUUAAGAUAACUUUUAAAAAACAAGUUGUUAUAAUAAAUAAUUUUUAAAAUAUUAGAUCAAGGUGCAGCAUAUAAAAAGGUCAAAAUGGGUUACAAUAAAAUACCUUUAAAACGGAUAUUACUAUGAAACUAGUAUUAGAAGGGGGACUUAAAAGUAAAAAUAUUUCAAUAAGAAAUUUUGAAUCUAGCACUAAGUCAUGU